RNAcentral lists this ribosomal RNA (490 nucleotides) under uncultured bacterium. RNAcentral describes it as "partial 16S ribosomal RNA". It matches the Rfam family "Bacterial small subunit ribosomal RNA", at positions 28 to 507 of the family's 1533-position model. The record is from RNAcentral.
GAUGAACGCUAGCUACAGGCUUAACACAUGCAAGUCGAGGGGCAGCAUGGUCUUAGCUUGCUAAGGCCGAUGGCGACCGGCGCACGGGUGAGUAACACGUAUCCAACCUGCCGUCUACUCUUGGACAGCCUUCUGAAAGGAAGAUUAAUACAAGAUGGCAUCAUGAGUCCGCAUGUUCACAUGAUUAAAGGUAUUCCGGUAGACGAUGGGGAUGCGUUCCAUUAGAUAGUAGGCGGGGUAACGGCCCACCUAGUCUUCGAUGGAUAGGGGUUCUGAGAGGAAGGUCCCCCACAUUGGAACUGAGACACGGUCCAAACUCCUACUGGAGGCAGCAGUGAGGAAUAUUGGUCAAUGGGCGAGAGCCUGAACCAGCCAAGUAGCGUGAAGGAUGACUGCCCUAUGGGUGGUAAACUUCUUUUAUAAAGGAAUAAAGUCGGGUAGGGAUACCCGUUUGCAUGUACUUUAUGAAUAAGGAUCGGCUAACUCCGUG